GAAAACCGGCUCUGAGGAUCGCUGUGAGGCAGCCAAGGACUGGAGGUUCCAUGAUUUGGGGGCGCCUCUGCCGCAGGCCCUUUCUACCUGAGUGUUCUCUCUUCUGCAACACCCGUUUCAACCCCUUUUAAAGGAAUUGGGGGCUAGCCAGACUAGACUAGGGGCGGCGAAACGCACUGAAGAGAGUCGGAUACAGAAUUUCUUGCAAACGAGGUCGAGUUGCGUCUGGGAUACGGUGUCAUGCCCCACCCCCGCCCCACGACCCUGCCGGCCCCACCUUUCUUUUGCUUCGCCUGCAGAAACCCGCACGGCCUUCUUACGUGCAUUUGAAAUUACCUAAGGGCGUAAGCAAUAUUUCCUCUGUCACGGAUUAAAACUUUCGAUGUAACGGUGUUA
Molecule: non-coding RNA, 396 nt
Filed under: Pan troglodytes (chimpanzee)
Lineage: Eukaryota; Metazoa; Chordata; Mammalia; Primates; Hominidae
Source: RNAcentral